UUAAAUGAUGAAAACUAAUAGGAAGAGCCAUCGGAUGCGAUAACUGAUGAUCCUAUUUUCUGACU
Molecule: small nucleolar RNA, 65 nt
Organism: Amblyraja radiata (thorny skate)
Lineage: Eukaryota; Metazoa; Chordata; Chondrichthyes; Rajiformes; Rajidae
Product: small nucleolar RNA SNORD49
Exons: 1
Source: RefSeq, a predicted model, not a curated record